Molecule: long non-coding RNA, 1842 nt
Filed under: Mus musculus (house mouse)
Lineage: Eukaryota; Metazoa; Chordata; Mammalia; Rodentia; Muridae
Description: long non-coding RNA chr13:41639512-41641354
Source: RNAcentral
GUUUGGUUUGGUUGUUGUUGUUGUUUUUUUUUUUUAAGUUUUAUAUUUUUGAGAUAGAGUCUCACUCUGUAGCCUAGACUAGCUUUGAACUUGUGAUCCUUCUGUCUCAGCUUGUCAGGUACCAGGAUUGCAGAUGUGUACCACUGUGCAUGGCUCCUCCUUUUUAAGUCAAAAGGUUUACAUUUCAUCUCUGAAAGUGGUUAGAAUAGAAUAGUUUUAAAGUUUUCUUUCUAGAAAGAAAAAUACUCUUGUUUGCCUAGGUUUUUUUCAUAGUGCUUAUGAUAGUAGCUGUGUUUUCCUUGGGGCACUCUUGCUCUUCCCCUGUACACACCUUUAUUCAUGAGCUCCACCUGUUUCAUGAACAAGUAGGACGCUCCCCUCAGCUCAUUGUCGCCAUAUGAUCUGGCAGAAUGCUCACCCGUGGUUCUAGCCCAAGUAUUAGCCCCUGCCUUAAGAUGUCCCAGGAUGAGAGAGCAGCUUUAGUUAUAUGAUAACAUGGCUUUGUUUAAGUAGCACAAGUAUAACUGCUCUAGCAGAUACUAAGAAACUAUCAGCCAGCCCACUGAUGAACCAUUUAGCUAAACCACAGUAUAAUUUUUUUAAAAAGCUAAAUGAUAUCUCAGGGCCUUGAAAGUUAAGAAUCUUUUGCAAAGUGGACUUAGGGAGGACUGGGGUUUGGCCAAUGAGCUGGCUUUGUGCACAGCACCUGCAGAGAGAUCCCAGCACUUACAGUGGGCCACUGAGACAAGUCCAGCUACUUACCUUUUACAGUUCCGGUUCCGUAGACAUUAGCCACUGACUGUGACAGGCCACAACUGCUUCUACAGUCCUUCACCACACGGGGGUAUUUGCCUCUCCUUCUUUCCCUUUCUUUUUUUCCAAGUAAGUAUGAAAGUAGAAAAAUGUAGACAAACAAAUGUGGGAUUUUAAAGUUGAGUUUUAGGUAAACUAGAGAUUCCUGUGUGGACAGUGUUAGUUUAAUAUUGUAGUUACAAAGGCAGACACUUUAUGUAACCUUUAGACAUAUGUUUACCAUCAGGGAUUUAUUUUUACAAUAGAAAUAUUAAAUGUACUGUGAAGCUUAAAGACAGGAAGACUAGACGUUGGAGGGUGAUACUCAGACAAAAGUGUGUUUGGUGAGGUACCCGCGUUAUGUGAACAUGACUUCCCCUUCUGUUAAGACUAUAAACUACACUGUAAGAGUGUGUGUGUUGCAUGUUUACAUAAAACAAUUUCAUUCUGAAGGAUUAUUUCAACUAUGUUUAUAUGUAAUACCUAACAGGUUGUAAAUAGUGUAUACUAUUGAUUUUUAAUUUUAUAUGAGCGAUUUUUUUAUUUCCCAAGUCAUGUACAAAUCUCAUUGUGUAUAUAGCAUAACUCCCUGGAGACACAAAUUUUGCAGUGAAUUUUAAGUAUUUUAAUCGCUGUAAGCAUCAUGUUAGCCUCAGAGAUGCUGGUCCUUAUUUUAAAUUAUUUUUCACCACACAUUUUCUUCAAAGGGCAGCAAUAAACAUAUGCAAGUUAUUUUGGUUCUUGAAAGUUGGCCUCAGAAGAUAAGAGUGCAGUUCAAUUCACAGCUGUAAAGAAAAGAUGCACAACUUACACCAUCCGCGUCUGGUCCCAGGACAACUUCUGAGAUCCAUCUGCACAUGGCUCUCCUCUUUGUAAUAUACAGGGUGAACUGUUGAAAACACACAGGACAUCUGUCACAGUGAAUCCAGCACUUCAGUGUCAUUACACAGAAUUUAUUGGAUUAAAGUUUGUAAUAUACAGUAUUUUAAUAAAGUUUCUGUAUUCAAUUUCAUGCACUUAUAUAUAUAAAUAAACCUGUCUUUAAAAACU